This 253-nucleotide ribosomal RNA is filed under the name uncultured bacterium. Its description in RNAcentral is "partial 16S ribosomal RNA". It matches the Rfam family "Bacterial small subunit ribosomal RNA", at positions 524 to 776 of the family's 1533-position model. The record is from RNAcentral.
UACGUAGGGGGCAAGCGUUGUCCGGAUUUAUUGGGCGUAAAGCGCGUGUAGGCGGCCAGGUAGGUCCGCUGUGAAAACCCGAGGCUCAACCUCGGGACGUCGGCGGAAACCCUUUGGCUAGAGUCCGGAAGAGGAGAGUGGAAUUCCCGGUGUAGCGGUGAAAUGCGCAGAUAUCGGGAAGAACACCCGUGGCGAAGGCGGCUCUCUGGGACGGUACUGACGCUGAGACGCGAAAGCGUGGGGAGCGAACAGG